AUACGUAGGGGGCGAGCGUUGUCCGGAUUUAUUGGGCGUAAAGGGUGCGUAGGCGGCCUUGUAAGUCAGAUGUGAAAGAUCAUGGCUUAACUGUGGAAAGCAUUUGAAACUGCAGGGCUUGAGUACAGGAGAGGAGAGUGGAAUUCCUAGUGUAGCGGUGAAAUGCGUAGAUAUUAGGAGGAAUACCAGUGGCGAAGGCGACUCUCUGGACUGAUACUGACGCUGAGGCACGAAAGCGUGGGGAGCAAACAGGAUUAGAUACCCUGGUAGUCCACGCUAUAAACGAUGAGUGCUAGGUGUCGGGGGUCAAACCUCGGUGCCGCAGUUAACACAUUAAGCACUCCGCCUGGGGAGUACGGCCGCAAGGCUGAAACUCAAAGGAAUUGGCGGGG
This 392-nucleotide ribosomal RNA is filed under the name uncultured bacterium. Its description in RNAcentral is "partial 16S ribosomal RNA". It matches the Rfam family "Bacterial small subunit ribosomal RNA", at positions 523 to 918 of the family's 1533-position model. The record is from RNAcentral.